GAGCAACCUGCCCCUGGCUCUGGGACAACCACUGGAAACGGUGGCUAAUACCGGAUACGACUCACCUCGGCAUCGAGUGUGGGUGGAAAGUUUUUCGGCUGGGGAUGGGCUCGCGGCCUAUCAGCUUGUUGGUGAGGUGAAGGCUCACCAAGGCGACGACGGGUAGCCGGCCUGAGAGGGCGACCGGCCACACUGGGACUGAGACACGGCCCAGACUCCUACGGGAGGCAGCAGUGGGGAAUAUUGCACAAUGGGCGAAAGCCUGAUGCAGCGACGCCGCGUGAGGGAUGACGGCCUUCGGGUUGUAAACCUCUUUCAGCUCCGAAGAAGCGCAAGUGACGGUAGGAGUAGAAGAAGCACCGGCUAACUACGUGCCAGCAGCCGCGGUAAUACGUAGGGUGCAAGCGUUGUCCGGAAUUAUUGGGCGUAAAGAGCUCGUAGGCGGUGUGUCGCGUCUGCUGUGAAAACUCAGGGCUCAACUCUGAGCUUGCAGUGGGUACGGGCACACUUGAGUGCUGUAGGGGAGACUGGAAUUCCUGGU
This 541-nucleotide ribosomal RNA is filed under the name uncultured bacterium. Its description in RNAcentral is "bacterial SSU rRNA". It matches the Rfam family "Bacterial small subunit ribosomal RNA", at positions 119 to 674 of the family's 1533-position model. The record is from RNAcentral.